AACGAACGCUGGCGGCGUGCCUAACACAUGCAAGUCGAGCGAGAAAGCCCGCAAGGGUGAGUAAAGCGGCGCACGGGUGAGUAACACGUGGGUAAUCUUCCUUGGAGCUUGGAAUAACUCCCCGAAAGGGGUGCUAAUGCCGAAUAAGACCACGGGGUCUCUGGGCCCUGAGGGAAAAGGCGGCCUCUGUACACAAGCUGUCACUCCAAGAUGAGCCCGCGUCCCAUCAGCUAGUUGGCGGGGUAAUGGCCCACCAAGGCUUCGACGGGUAGCUGGUCUGAGAGGACGAUCAGCCACACUGGAACUGAGACACGGUCCAGACUCCUACGGGAGGCAGCAGUGGGGAAUCUUGCGCAAUGGGCGAAAGCCUGACGCAGCAACGCCGCGUGUGUGAUGAAGGUCUUCGGAUCGUAAAGCACUGUCGGGAGGGACGAAUAAGGUGGUGGCUAAUACCUGCCGCUGAUGACGGUACCUCCAAAGGAAGCACCGGCUAACU
RNAcentral lists this ribosomal RNA (496 nucleotides) under uncultured bacterium. Its description in RNAcentral is "bacterial SSU rRNA". It matches the Rfam family "Bacterial small subunit ribosomal RNA", at positions 29 to 502 of the family's 1533-position model. The record is from RNAcentral.